This is a long non-coding RNA of Patella vulgata (common limpet), 1142 nucleotides long. RefSeq lists it as uncharacterized. The transcript is spliced from 4 exons. The record is from RefSeq and is a predicted model, not a curated record. NCBI's taxonomy places the organism in Eukaryota, Metazoa, Mollusca, Gastropoda, Patellidae.
GUUGUCCAUGCGUAUUUACCCUUCUUAAACAAGUUUUCAAGACGUUUGUCAACAGACCUAUAUUAAAUCUGAGCUGUUUAUAUCCUGGUACGGCCAUAUUUGAAACGUUCAUAUCUACUGAAGAUGUCUAAUGAAACAAAUCUACCCAGUCAGUAUGAUAGCGACUCUGGAUGUGAUCCAGCAUUCAUUGCUGAACAGCAACGUAUACUUGAUGAGGCUGCUGCCCGAGUUCAAUCUAGAACUGCCGAAGACGAUGACAGACAUACAUCUUCACUUAUUCGACCAACCCCUGACAGAGCUAGACCAGAGUAUUAUGUGCCCAUUAGUACUCAAGAUGUGGUGAUGAACCAGCCUGUGUUGCCCACAGUAACAACACAGAAACCAGAGUCCCACAUUGGGUUAUCUGUUUUCACGUUUUUGUGUUGUUGUAUGCCACUGGGAUUAAUAGCCAUAAUCAUGUCUUUAAAGUCUGCUAAUGCCUCAGAAAAGGGGAAGUAUGAAAAAGCCAGAUUCUUCUCCAAAACAGCUCAUUGGUUUAACGUGGCAUCCAUCGCAACAGCUUUAAUCAUUCUGAUGAUUGUUCUGAUUAUUAAAAACGUUAAUAAGUAAAGCUACAGGUAUUAUGGCUAUUAGAGUAACAAUCAUAUUUUCAACUCCACGGCUUACACAAAGAAAAGGGUACACUUAUUACAGUUAGAUUUUUGUUCUCUGAAAUUUUAUAUGAUUUGUUUUGGGUUAUUUUCUAAUUUUAUUUUACACAUUUGUUUAUGUGAGUUGUGUUUAUGAGUUUUAGAUGUACAUGUCUUUUUUAUUGUAUUUUGUACAUUGUCUGUAUAUCUCUCUUUUUUAUUUCGAUACAAGUUUUUAUAUCUAUAGUGUAAAGCCGCCCGCGACACAGUAUUGUAGAAAUGGUGAUAUAUAAAUAAAUAAUUAUUUUCAUUAGAGAAUAAAGUAAAGGCAAUUGAGAUUAAAAGAAGAUUAUUUCAGACCGAAAUUCAAACCAAAAUUAAAUGCACUGAAAUAUUUUUAUAAUCGUAUCAUUUCACUUAAUUUGAUACUUAUGUAAUCGACGUUAUAUUUUAUAUAUCCAUGACAAUGAAGAAGAAACAUGUUGGUAAUAAAAUAAAAGAUUUGGAACUCAA